GAUGAACGCUGGCGGCGUGCUUAACACAUGCAAGUCGAACGGAGUUUACUUAACAGAUUCCUUCGGGAUGACGUUUUUUAAACUUAGUGGCGGACGGGUGAGUAACGCGUGGGUAACCUGCCUUACACAGGGGGAUAGCAGUUGGAAACGACUGGUAAUACCGCAUACCUUACAUUAUUCGCAUGUUUGAUGUAAGAAAGAUUUUAUCGGUGUAAGAUGGACCCGCGUCUGAUUAGCUAGUUGGUGUGGUAACGGCAUACCAAGGCGACGAUCAGUAGCCGGCCUGAGAGGGUGAACGGCCACAUUGGGACUGAGAUACGGCCCAGACUCCUACGGGAGGCAGCAGUGGGGAAUAUUGCACAAUGGAGGCAACUCUGAUGCAGCGACGCCGCGUGAGUGAAGAAGUAUUUCGGUAUGUAAAGCUCUAUCAGUAGGGAAGAUAAUGACGGUACCUACAGAAGAAGC
RNAcentral lists this ribosomal RNA (465 nucleotides) under uncultured bacterium. RNAcentral describes it as "bacterial SSU rRNA". It matches the Rfam family "Bacterial small subunit ribosomal RNA", at positions 28 to 491 of the family's 1533-position model. The record is from RNAcentral.